CACUAUCGUUAACUGAAUACAUAGGUUAACGAGGCGAACCGGGGGAACUGAAACAUCUAAGUACCCCGAGGAAAAGAAAUCAACCGAGAUUCCCCCAGUAGCGGCGAGCGAACGGGGAGCAGCCCAGAGUCUGAAUCAGCUUGUGUGUUAGUGGAACGGUCUGGAAAGUCCGACGGUACAGGGUGAUAGUCCCGUACACCAAAAUGCACAGGCUGUGAACUCGAAGAGUAGGGCGGGACACGUGGUAUCCUGUCUGAAUAUGGGGGGACCAUCCUCCAAGGCUAAAUACUCCUGACUGACCGAUAGUGAACCAGUACCGUGAGGGAAAGGCGAAAAGAACCCCGGCGAGGGGAGUGAAAAAGAACCUGAAACCGUGUACGUACAAGCAGUGGGAGCACCUUCGGGUGUGACUGCGUACCUUUUGUAUAAUGGGUCAGCGACUUAUAUUCUGUAGCAAGGUUAACCGUAUAGGGGAGCCGCAGGGAAACCGAGUCUUAACUGGGCGUUAAGUUGCAGGGUAUAGACCCGAAACCCGGUGAUCUAGCCAUGGGCAGGUUGAAGGUUGGGUAACACUAACUGGAGGACCGAACCGACUAAUGUUGAAAAAUUAGCGGAUGACUUGUGGCUGGGGGUGAAAGGCCAAUCAAACCGGGAGAUAGCUGGUUCUCCCCGAAAGCUAUUUAGGUAGCGCCUCGUGAAUUCAUCUUCGGGGGUAGAGCACUGUUUCGGCUAGGGGGUCAUCCCGACUUACCAACCCGAUGCAAACUACGAAUACCGAAGAAUGUUAUCACGGGAGACACACGGCGGGUGCUAACGUCCGUCGUGAAGAGGGAAACAACCCAGACCGCCAGCUAAGGUCCCAAAGUCAUGGUUAAGUGGGAAACGAUGUGGGAAGGCACAGACAGCCAGGAUGUUGGCUUAGAAGCAGCCAUCAUUUAAAGAAAGCGUAAUAGCUCACUGGUCGAGUCGGCCUGCGCGGAAGAUGUAACGGGGCUAAACCAUGCACCGAAGCUGCGGCAGCGACACUAUGUGUUGUUGGGUAGGGGAGCGUUCUGUAAGCCUGCGAAGGUGACCUGUGAGGGUUGCUGGAGGUAUCAGAAGUGCGAAUGCUGACAUAAGUAACGAUAAAGCGGGUGAAAAGCCCGCUCGCCGGAAGACCAAGGGUUCCUGUCCAACGUUAAUCGGGGCAGGGUGAGUCGACCCCUAAGGCGAGGCCGAAAGGCGUAGUCGAUGGGAAACAGGUUAAUAUUCCUGUACUUGGUGUUACUGCGAAGGGGGGACGGAGAAGGCUAUGUUAGCCGGGCGACGGUUGUCCCGGUUUAAGCAUGUAGGCUGGUUAUCCAGGCAAAUCCGGAUAAUCAAGGCUGAGGUGUGAUGACGAGGCACUACGGUGCUGAAGUAACAAAUGCCCUGCUUCCAGGAAAAGCCUCUAAGCAUCAGGUAACAUCAAAUCGUACCCCAAACCGACACAGGUGGUCAGGUAGAGAAUACCAAGGCGCUUGAGAGAACUCGGGUGAAGGAACUAGGCAAAAUGGUGCCGUAACUUCGGGAGAAGGCACGCUGGUGUGUAGGUGAAGUCCCUGCGGAUGGAGCUGAGACCAGUCGAAGAUACCAGCUGGCUGCAACUGUUUAUUAAAAACACAGCACUGUGCAAACACGAAAGUGGACGUAUACGGUGUGACGCCUGCCCGGUGCCGGAAGGUUAAUUGAUGGGGUUAUCCGUAAGGAGAAGCUCUUGAUCGAAGCCCCGGUAAACGGCGGCCGUAACUAUAACGGUCCUAAGGUAGCGAAAUUCCUUGUCGGGUAAGUUCCGACCUGCACGAAUGGCGUAAUGAUGGCCAGGCUGUCUCCACCCGAGACUCAGUGAAAUUGAACUCGCUGUGAAGAUGCAGUGUACCCGCGGCAAGACGGAAAGACCCCGUGAACCUUUACUAUAGCUUGACACUGAACAUUGAGCCUUGAUGUGUAGGAUAGGUGGGAGGCUUUGAAGCGUGGACGCCAGUCUGCGUGGAGCCAACCUUGAAAUACCACCCUUUAAUGUUUGAUGUUCUAACGUUGGCCCCUUACCGGGGUUGCGGACAGUGUCUGGUGGGUAGUUUGACUGGGGCGGUCUCCUCCCAAAGCGUAACGGAGGAGCACGAAGGUUAGCUAAUCCUGGUCGGACAUCAGGAGGUUAGUGCAAUGGCAUAAGCUAGCUUGACUGCGAGCGUGACGGCGCGAGCAGGUGCGAAAGCAGGUCAUAGUGAUCCGGUGGUUCUGAAUGGAAGGGCCAUCGCUCAACGGAUAAAAGGUACUCCGGGGAUAACAGGCUGAUACCGCCCAAGAGUUCAUAUCGACGGCGGUGUUUGGCACCUCGAUGUCGGCUCAUCACAUCCUGGGGCUGAAGUAGGUCCCAAGGGUAUGGCUGUUCGCCAUUUAAAGUGGUACGCGAGCUGGGUUUAGAACGUCGUGAGACAGUUCGGUCCCUAUCUGCCGUGGGCGCUGGAGAAUUGAGGGGGGCUGCUCCUAGUACGAGAGGACCGGAGUGGACGCAUCACUGGUGUUCGGGUUGUCAUGCCAAUGGCACUGCCCGGUAGCUAAAUGCGGAAGAGAUAAGUGCUGAAAGCAUCUAAGCACGAAACUUGCCCCGAGAUGAGUUCUCCCUGAGACUUUAAGUCUCCUGAAGGAACGUUGAAGACGACGACGUUGAUAGGCCGGGUGUGUAAGCGCAGCGAUGCGUUGAGCUAACCGGUACUAAUGAACCGUGAGGCUUAACCUU
This 2758-nucleotide ribosomal RNA is filed under the name Klebsiella pneumoniae. RNAcentral describes it as "bacterial LSU rRNA". It matches the Rfam family "Bacterial large subunit ribosomal RNA". RNAcentral also lists the same sequence under 1 other name. Lineage: Bacteria; Pseudomonadati; Pseudomonadota; Gammaproteobacteria; Enterobacterales; Enterobacteriaceae. The record is from RNAcentral.